RNAcentral lists this ribosomal RNA (414 nucleotides) under uncultured microorganism. RNAcentral's name for it is "bacterial SSU rRNA". It matches the Rfam family "Archaeal small subunit ribosomal RNA", at positions 459 to 872 of the family's 1478-position model. The record is from RNAcentral.
CAGCAGCCGCGGUAAUACCGGCGGCCCGAGUGGCGGUCACUAUUAUUGGGCUUAAAGCGUCCGUAGCCGGGUUGGGAAGUCCUCCGGGAAAUCUGGCCGCUUAACGGUCAGAAUGCCGGAGGAUACUCCCAGCCUAGGGAGCGGGAGAGGCCGAGGGGAUUCCCGGAGUAGGGGUGAAAUCCUAUAAUCCCGGGAGGACCACCUGUGGCGAAGGCGCUCGGCUGGAACGCGUCCGACGGUGAGGGACGAAGGCCAGGGGAGCAAACCGGAUUAGAUACCCGGGUAGUCCUGGCGGUAAACGAUGCGGACUUUGUGUCGGACAAGCUAUGAGCUUGUCCGGUGCCGGAGGGAAACCGUUAAGUCCGCCGCCUGGGGAGUACGGCCGCAAGGCUGAAACUUAAAGGAAUUGGCGGG